Molecule: ribosomal RNA, 311 nt
Filed under: uncultured bacterium
Lineage: Bacteria
Description: bacterial SSU rRNA
Rfam family: Bacterial small subunit ribosomal RNA
Source: RNAcentral
AUUGAACGCUGGCGGCAGGCCUAACACAUGCAAGUCGAGGGGUAACAGAGGUAGCUUGCUACUUGCUGACGACCGGCGCACGGGUGCGUAACGCGUAUACAAUCUACCUUUUACUAAGGAAUACCCCAGAGAAAUUUGGAUUAAUGCCUUAUAGUAUUUCUCUAACACAUGUUAGAGUUCUUAAAGCUCCGGCGGUAUAAGAUGAGUAUGCGUGAUAUUAGCUAGUUGGUGAGGUAACUGCUCACCAAGGCAACGAUAUCUAGGGGGUCUGAGAGGACUAUCCCCCACACUGGUACUGAGACACGGACCAG